RNAcentral lists this transfer RNA (86 nucleotides) under Pseudomonas sp. 58 R 3. Its description in RNAcentral is "tRNA-Asp". The record is from RNAcentral. Lineage: Bacteria; Pseudomonadati; Pseudomonadota; Gammaproteobacteria; Pseudomonadales; Pseudomonadaceae.
GUUUGUAUGGCGAGGGUGCCGCCAGGUGUCAGCUGGUCGACCAGAUGCGGGUAGAGCGUGGCGUGGUUCGGCAGCCAUUGCAGGGA